This 207-nucleotide long non-coding RNA is filed under the name Elaeis guineensis (African oil palm). RNAcentral's name for it is "long non-coding RNA (EGUI_LNC063350)". Lineage: Eukaryota; Viridiplantae; Streptophyta; Magnoliopsida; Arecales; Arecaceae. The record is from RNAcentral.
AUCGAGAAUCAUUGCUAGAUGGUAGCUUCGAUUAGUACAAAAAUUGAUUCCUAUGCUACCGGCUUAGUGUUUGAACCUAUAGAGUCACGCACACAAGUCAAACAAUGUAGAAAAAUAUUGAUCUAUGUUUAUAUAUCCAAUUUGAAAGUACUUGACUUGAUUGAAUAUAUAAACUAACUUGACUAGAAUUAAGUUAUGGGUCAAACG